GGCUACAAGCGACGACGGGUAGCCGGCCUGAGAGGGCGACCGGCCACACUGGGACUGAGACACGGCCCAGACUCCUACGGGAGGCAGCAGUGGGGAAUAUUGCACAAUGGGCGAAAGCCUGAUGCAGCGACGCCGCGUGAGGGAUGACGGCCUUCGGGUUGUAAACCUCUUUCAGCAGGGAAGAAGCGAAAGUGACGGUACCUGCAGAAGAAGCGCCGGCUAACUACGUGCCAGCAGCCGCGGUAAUACGUAGGGCGCAAGCGUUGUCCGGAAUUAUUGGGCGUAAAGAGCUCGUAGGCGGCUUGUCACGUCGGUUGUGAAAGCCCGGGGCUUAACCCCGGGUCUGCAGUCGAUACGGGCAGGCUAGAGUUCGGUAGGGGAGAUCGGAAUUCCUGGUGUAGCGGUGAAAUGCGCAGAUAUCAGGAGGAACACCGGUGGCGAAGGCGGAUCUCUGGGCCGAUACUGACGCUGAGGAGCGAAAGCGUGGGGAGCGAACAGGAUUAGAUACCCUGGUAGUCCACGCCGUAAACGGUGGGCACUAGGUGUGGGCAACAUUCCACGUUGUCCGUGCCGCAGCUAACGCAUUAAGUGCCCCGC
RNAcentral lists this ribosomal RNA (597 nucleotides) under Streptomyces sp. MDRC-43. RNAcentral describes it as "bacterial SSU rRNA". It matches the Rfam family "Bacterial small subunit ribosomal RNA", at positions 263 to 872 of the family's 1533-position model. Lineage: Bacteria; Bacillati; Actinomycetota; Actinomycetes; Kitasatosporales; Streptomycetaceae. The record is from RNAcentral.